RNAcentral lists this ribosomal RNA (492 nucleotides) under uncultured bacterium. RNAcentral describes it as "partial 16S ribosomal RNA". It matches the Rfam family "Bacterial small subunit ribosomal RNA", at positions 29 to 507 of the family's 1533-position model. The record is from RNAcentral.
AGUGAACGCUGGCGGUAGGCCUAACACAUGCAAGUCGAACGGCAGCACAGUAAGAGCUUGCUCUUACGGGUGGCGAGUGGCGGACGGGUGAGGAAUACAUCGGAAUCUACUUUUUCGUGGGGGAUAACGUAGGGAAACUUACGCUAAUACCGCAUACGACCUACGGGUGAAAGCAGGGGAUCUUCGGACCUUGCGCGAUUGAAUGAGCCGAUGUCGGAUUAGCUAGUUGGCGGGGUAAAGGCCCACCAAGGCGACGAUCCGUAGCUGGUCUGAGAGGAUAAUCAGCCACACUGGAACUGAGACACGGUCCAGACUCCUACGGGAGGCAGCAGUGGGGAAUAUUGGACAAUGGGCGCAAGCCUGAUCCAGCCAUGCCGCGUGGGUGAAGAAGGCCUUCGGGUUGUAAAGCCCUUUUGUUGGGAAAGAAAAGCAGCAGGUUAAUACCCCGCUGUUCUGACGGUACCCAAAGAAUAAGCACCGGCUAACUUCGUG